RNAcentral lists this ribosomal RNA (1088 nucleotides) under Triticum aestivum (bread wheat). RNAcentral's name for it is "partial small subunit ribosomal RNA". Lineage: Eukaryota; Viridiplantae; Streptophyta; Magnoliopsida; Poales; Poaceae. The record is from RNAcentral.
GUCUAUCUGUUUACCUCUUUUUGUCUGCCUCUUGCUUUGUUACCGACGGCUUCCUUCAGACUUCGACGAGCCGAACUGCCACUCGGGCAAGCAGUAGGCACAUGCGUACCGCGACGUCGACUUUCCGUAGCCGAUGCUCAUGUAUCUCGUCCUGGACAAGUGGUUCCCGCUCGAGGAGGCGUUCAGGUUGGGCCACAUGUACUUCCAGGGCCACGAGUAGGUGCUGCCGUUUGGGUAGACGCUCAGCGACCGGUAGCACGUCAUGCAGCUGCUCCAGACCCGCCGGUGCCCGGGGAGCUAGGAGGGGCGGCUGGGGAUGCUAGCGCGGCGGCGAGCGUAGACCCGGCGGAUGCGGCUGUCGUUCGAGAACGGCCGGACCCAUCCGUAGUACACCCGCCGCUGCCUCCUCCUCUCUCGCCUCUUCCAGCUCCUGUGCGAUCGCCGAUAGCCGGUUAACCUCCUCCGCAAGCCGUUCACGAGCUUCCCUUUCCGGAAGAAGCGGCCGCUAAGGCAGCCCAUGGAGCUGGAGCAGCAGCCGAGCGUCAACGAGACCAAGCUUCGCGACGUCUUCUACAAGCCGCAGCACCAGCAACUCCACCCAUCCCGAGGCGAGAACCGGCGCACCCACUUCGUCAAACCCCUCUGACUAUGCCGGUUCCUCCACCACGGCCUGCAACUGUGCCGCCACCUCAUGGACUGCUUCGAAGUCAGAGCAGCCCGACCAAGGUGCCAACGGGUCAACGACAGCACUGUUUUCAUCUCACCUUAAACAGCUGGGUCGAUCGUUCAUGUCGCUUAAAAGAGAAAUCCGGUCGAAAUAUCAGUACAGAACAUUCCUACGUUUCUUACCUGACCAAAGGGAGGACUGUGGUGCAUCGAUGAAGAGGUUUCUCCUAUUGUUUAGCAAACCACACCCAUCUACGUUAACAUAGAUGGCUAGUUGCCCCCUCCAUUGUACAGUCCGGGUGAUGUUGGGGUGCGGGAGAGGAGCAGUUCGUAUGCCAGAGCCGCACCCGGCUGGGCGCUCCGCUUCCUUCGGGUUGGGCGCCUUGGUUCCGGGCCUCACCCACACUGGCUCGCCUCCGUGG